AAACCAGCACCUCAAGUGGUCAGGAUGAUUAUUGGGCCUAAAGCAUCCGUAGCCGGCUCUGUAAGUUUUCGGUUAAAUCUGUACGCUCAACGUACAGGCUGCCGGAAAUACUGCAGGGCUAGGGAGUGGGAGAGGUAGACGGUACUCGGGAGGAAGGGGUAAAAUCCUUUGAUCUCUUGAUGACCACCUGUGGCGAAGGCGGUCUACCAGAACACGUCCGACGGUGAGGGAUGAAAGCUGGGGGAGCAAACCGGAUUAGAUACCCGAGUAGUCC
RNAcentral lists this ribosomal RNA (274 nucleotides) under uncultured bacterium. RNAcentral describes it as "partial 16S ribosomal RNA". It matches the Rfam family "Archaeal small subunit ribosomal RNA", at positions 473 to 747 of the family's 1478-position model. The record is from RNAcentral.